This is a long non-coding RNA of Schistocerca nitens (vagrant locust), 631 nucleotides long. RefSeq lists it as uncharacterized. The transcript has 3 exons. Lineage: Eukaryota; Metazoa; Arthropoda; Insecta; Orthoptera; Acrididae. The record is from RefSeq and is a predicted model, not a curated record.
ACCUUACAUUUGCACGGCGUUUUAAUUUAAUUAUUAAGUAACGGCAGUUUCGUAAUGUGAUUAUUUUUAAUAUAUUUGACUCCUUGGUAUUAAUGUUAUUAUUUUUUAUAUAUUGACUCCUUGAUAUUAACGUUUGUUACCUAAAUUACGAACGUUGUACUUUUGACUUCCCACGCCAGAUGGUGGGUGUUACGUUUUUUAAGAAAGACGUGUGUUGCGCCUCUUUUUAUGUUGUUCAUUUAUUAUUCUUUGGCAUUGUCUUUUGCUUUUUACAUGUUCUGCACUCUAAUAACUUAUCAUCGAUCUAUUUUAUGUUUCAUAGUUUAUAAAAAACAAUAUGCCAAUGUAUUUUAGAUAUUCUCCUGCAUCUGCUAUGUGUUAGGGCGUGUCAAGCCCCGUCACACCGAGGUCUGCUGAACAAGUGCAGGUAAACAGCGACCUCAGUCUAUGUGAUCGCCGUAAUGCAUAGUGUCAACAGUGCAUCCCAAUUUAAGUUAUACAAUAUAGCACUGAAGAUGGUCACUCAGUGACAGAAAAUCGAUUCUGCAAUAGUAAAAAUAUACGACCAAUGCUGUCUCUUUUUUCAAGUAUACCUGUUAUCUGGUCGUUGUGCACAAGACAACAUGGAGUC